Molecule: long non-coding RNA, 275 nt
Filed under: Elaeis guineensis (African oil palm)
Lineage: Eukaryota; Viridiplantae; Streptophyta; Magnoliopsida; Arecales; Arecaceae
Description: long non-coding RNA (EGUI_LNC046210)
Source: RNAcentral
AUAUAGGUGAUUGGAUUCUCAUUGUUCUUAUCGAGUUCAAUAGGAUCGUUAUUUUAGAUCAAAAAAUCAUAGUAUCUAUUCGAUUGAUGGAACUCUACGGAUCUCCUUAAUGGUGCAUCUACAAUAGGCUCAGGAUUUGAUCAAAUCAAAUCCUAUUCUGUAGGUUCACUAGAUUAUAUCGGUUCAUCUACCUAUCAAACUUUAUCAAGUUCAAUCUUAGAGGUAUCAGUUCCUUCACCAAGAAACUCUUUUUUUUAAAAGAUUAUCUUAAGGCU